UGCUCUGAUGGCGAGUGGCGAACGGGUGAGUAAUAUAUCGGAACGUGCCCUAGAGUGGGGGAUAACUAGUCGAAAGACUAGCUAAUACCGCAUACGAUCUAAGGAUGAAAGUGGGGGAUCGCAAGACCUCAUGCUCGUGGAGCGGCCGAUAUCUGAUUAGCUAGUUGGUGGGGUAAAAGCCUACCAAGGCAACGAUCAGUAGCUGGUCUGAGAGGACGACCAGCCACACUGGGACUGAGACACGGCCCAGACUCCUACGGGAGGCAGCAGUGGGGAAUUUUGGACAAUGGGGGCAACCCUGAUCCAGCAAUGCCGCGUGAGUGAAGAAGGCCUUCGGGUUGUAAAGCUCUUUUGUCAGGGAAGAAACGGUUCUGGAUAAUACCUGGAGCUAAUGACGGUACCUGAAGAAUAAGCACCGGCUAACUACGUGCCAGCAGCCGCGGUAAUACGUAGGGUGCAAGCGUUAAUCGGAAUUACUGGGCGUAAAGCGUGCGCAGGCGGUUGUGUAAGUCAGAUGUGAAAUCCCCGGGCUCAACCUGGGAAUUGCAUUUGAGACUGCACGGCUAGAGUGUGUCAGAGGGGGGUAGAAUUCCACGUGUAGCAGUGAAAUGCGUAGAUAUGUGGAGGAAUACCGAUGGCGAAGGCAGCC
RNAcentral lists this ribosomal RNA (649 nucleotides) under Herbaspirillum sp. EECC-262. RNAcentral's name for it is "bacterial SSU rRNA". It matches the Rfam family "Bacterial small subunit ribosomal RNA", at positions 81 to 726 of the family's 1533-position model. The record is from RNAcentral. Lineage: Bacteria; Pseudomonadati; Pseudomonadota; Betaproteobacteria; Burkholderiales; Oxalobacteraceae.